CAGCCGCCGCGGGAAAACGUAGGGUGCAAGCGUUAAUCGGAAUUACUGGGCGUAAAGCGUGCGCAGGCGGUUGUGUAAGACAGGUGUGAAAUCCCCGGGCUUAACCUGGGAACUGCGCUUGUGACUGCACAGCUAGAGUAUGGCAGAGGGGGGUGGAAUUCCACGUGUAGCAGUGAAAUGCGUAGAGAUGUGGAGGAAUACCGAUGGCGAAGGCAGCCCCCUGGGCCAAUACUGACGCUCAUGCACGAAAGCGUGGGGAGCAAACAGGAUUAGAUACCCCGGUAGUCCCUGUCUCUUAUAC
This 301-nucleotide ribosomal RNA is filed under the name uncultured bacterium. Its description in RNAcentral is "partial 16S ribosomal RNA". It matches the Rfam family "Bacterial small subunit ribosomal RNA", at positions 509 to 807 of the family's 1533-position model. The record is from RNAcentral.